RNAcentral lists this ribosomal RNA (514 nucleotides) under uncultured bacterium. RNAcentral's name for it is "partial 16S ribosomal RNA". It matches the Rfam family "Bacterial small subunit ribosomal RNA", at positions 28 to 523 of the family's 1533-position model. The record is from RNAcentral.
GACGAACGCUGGCGGCGUGCCUAACACAUGCAAGUCGAACGGGGAAUUAGCAAUAAUUCUUAGUGGCGAACGGGUGAGUAACGCGUAGACAACCUACCCUUUAGAUGGGGACAACACCGCGAAAGUGGUGCUAAUACCGAAUAUUGCUUGAGAAGCGCAUGCUUUUCAAACUAAAGAUGGCCUCUAUUUAUAAGCUAUCGCUAAAGAAUGGGUCUGCGUCUGAUUAGCUAGUUGGUGAGAUAAAAGCUCACCAAGGCAACGAUCAGUAGCCGGUCGGAGAGGAUGAACGGCAACACUGGGACUGAGACACGGCCCAGACUCCUACGGGAGGCAGCAGUGGGGAAUCUUCCGCAAUGGACGAAAGUCUGACGGAGCAACGCCGCGUGAGUGAUGAAGGUUUUCGGAUCGUAAAACUCUGUUGUUAAGGACGAAUGUAUAGAUUGUGAAUAAUGGUUUAUAAUGACGGUACUUAACGAGGAAGCCACGGCUAACUACGUGCCAGCCGCCGCCGUAA